This 490-nucleotide ribosomal RNA is filed under the name uncultured bacterium. RNAcentral's name for it is "partial 16S ribosomal RNA". It matches the Rfam family "Bacterial small subunit ribosomal RNA", at positions 30 to 507 of the family's 1533-position model. The record is from RNAcentral.
AUUGAACGCUGGCGGCAGGCCUAACACAUGCAAGUCGAACGGUAACAGAAAGCAGCUUGCUGCUUUGCUGACGAGUGGCGGACGGGUGAGUAAUGUCUGGGAAACUGCCUGAUGGAGGGGGAUAACUACUGGAAACGGUAGCUAAUACCGCAUAACGUCGCAAGACCAAAGAGGGGGACCUUCGGGCCUCUUGCCAUCGGGUGUGCCCAGAUGGGAUUAGCUAGUAGGUGGGGUAACGGCUCACCUAGGCGACGAUCCCUAGCUGGUCUGAGAGGAUGACCAGCCACACUGGAACUGAGACACGGUCCAGACUCCUACGGGAGGCAGCAGUGGGGAAUAUUGCACAAUGGGCGCAAGCCUGAUGCAGCCAUGCCGCGUGUAUGAAGAAGGCCUUCGGGUUGUAAAGUACUUUCAGCGGGGAGGAAGGGAGUAAAGUUAAUACCUUUGCUCAUUGACGUUACCCGCAGAAGAAGCACCGGCUAACUCCGUG